GGAGAUUUAGCUCAGUGGCAGAGCGCUUGCCUAGGAAGCGCAAGGCCCUGGGUUCGGUCCCCAGCUCCG
Molecule: transfer RNA, 69 nt
Filed under: Rattus norvegicus (Norway rat)
Lineage: Eukaryota; Metazoa; Chordata; Mammalia; Rodentia; Muridae
Rfam family: tRNA
About the family: Transfer RNA (tRNA) molecules are approximately 80 nucleotides in length. Their secondary structure includes four short double-helical elements and three loops (D, anti-codon, and T loops). Further hydrogen bonds mediate the characteristic L-shaped molecular structure. tRNAs have two regions of fundamental functional importance: the anti-codon, which is responsible for specific mRNA codon recognition, and the 3' end, to which the tRNAs corresponding amino acid is attached (by aminoacyl-tRNA synthetases). tRNAs cope with the degeneracy of the genetic code in two manners: having more than one tRNA (with a specific anti-codon) for a particular amino acid; and 'wobble' base-pairing, i.e. permitting non-standard base-pairing at the 3rd anti-codon position.
Source: Rfam by way of RNAcentral